GGGUUGUGAGGUUAAGCGACUAAGCGUACACGGUGGAUGCCCUGGCAGUCAGAGGCGAUGAAGGGCGUGCUAAUCUGCGAUAAGCGCCGGUAAGGUGAUAUGAACCGUUAUAACCGGCGAUACCCGAAUGGGGAAACCCAGUGUGACUCGUCACACUAUCAUUAACUGAAUCCAUAGGUUAAUGAGGCGAACCGGGGGAACUGAAACAUCUAAGUACCCCGAGGAAAAGAAAUCAACCGAGAUUCCCCCAGUAGCGGCGAGCGAACGGGGAGGAGCCCAGAGCCUGAAUCAGCAUGUGUGUUAGUGGAAGCGUCUGGAAAGACGCGCGAUACAGGGUGACAGCCCCGUACACAAAAGCGUAUGUGCUGUGAGCUCGAUGAGUAGGGCGGGACACGUGGUAUCCUGUCUGAAUAUGGGGGGACCAUCCUCCAAGGCUAAAUACUCCUGACUGACCGAUAGUGAACCAGUACCGUGAGGGAAAGGCGAAAAGAACCCCGGCGAGGGGAGUGAAAAAGAACCUGAAACCGUGUACGUACAAGCAGUGGGAGCACAGGUUUACCUGUGUGACUGCGUACCUUUUGUAUAAUGGGUCAGCGACUUAUAUUCUGUAGCAAGGUUAACCGAAUAGGGGAGCCGGAGGGAAACCGAGUCUUAAUUGGGCGUUAAGUUGCAGGGUAUAGACCCGAAACCCGGUGAUCUAGCCAUGGGCAGGUUGAAGGUUGGGUAACACUAACUGGAGGACCGAACCGACUAAUGUUGAAAAAUUAGCGGAUGACCUGUGGCUGGGGGUGAAAGGCCAAUCAAACCGGGAGAUAGCUGGUUCUCCCCGAAAGCUAUUUAGGUAGCGCCUCGUGAAUUCAUCUCCGGGGGUAGAGCACUGUUUCGGCUAGGGGG
This 894-nucleotide ribosomal RNA is filed under the name Salmonella enterica subsp. enterica serovar Agona. Its description in RNAcentral is "partial 23S ribosomal RNA". It matches the Rfam family "Bacterial large subunit ribosomal RNA", at positions 1 to 926 of the family's 2925-position model. The record is from RNAcentral. Lineage: Bacteria; Pseudomonadati; Pseudomonadota; Gammaproteobacteria; Enterobacterales; Enterobacteriaceae.